RNAcentral lists this unclassified non-coding RNA (331 nucleotides) under soil metagenome. RNAcentral describes it as "partial contains 5.8S ribosomal RNA, internal transcribed spacer 2, and large subunit ribosomal RNA". The stretch from base 1 to 120 matches the Rfam family "5.8S ribosomal RNA", at positions 35 to 154 of the family's 154-position model. The record is from RNAcentral.
GAUAAAGAACGUAGCGAAAUGCGAUAAGUAAUGUGAAUUGCAGAAUUCAGUGAAUCAUCGAAUCUUUGAACGCACAUUGCGCCCCCUGGUAUUCCGGGGGGCAUGCCUGUUCGAGCGUCAUUUCACCACUCAAGCCUCGCUUGGUAUUGGGCAACGCGGUCCGCCGCGUGCCUCAAAUCGACCGGCUGGGUCUUCUGUCCCCUAAGCGUUGUGGAAACUAUUCGCUAAAGGGUGUUCGGGAGGCUACGCCGUAAAACAACCCCAUUUCUAAGGUUGACCUCGGAUCAGGUAGGGAUACCCGCUGAACUUAAGCAUAUCAAUAAGCGGAGGA